AUUGAACGCUGGCGGCAGGCCUAACACAUGCAAGUCGAACGGUAACAGGAAACAGCUUGCUGUUUCGCUGACGAGUGGCGGACGGGUGAGUAAUGUCUGGGAAACUGCCUGAUGGAGGGGGAUAACUACUGGAAACGGUAGCUAAUACCGCAUAACGUCGCAAGACCAAAGAGGGGGACCCUCGGGCCUCUUGCCAUCGGAUGUGCCCAGAUGGGAUUAGCUUGUUGGUGGGGUAACGGCUCACCAAGGCGGCGAUCCCUAGCUGGUCUGAGAGGAUGACCAGCCACACUGGAACUGAGACACGGUCCAGACUCCUACGGGAGGCAGCAGUGGGGAAUAUUGCACAAUGGGCGCAAGCCUGAUGCAGCCAUGCCGCGUGUAUGAAGAAGGCCUUCGGGUUGUAAAGUACUUUCAGCGGGGAGGAAGGGAGUAAAGUUAAUACCUUUGCUCAUUGACGUUACCCGCAGAAGAAGCACCGGCUAACUCCGUG
Molecule: ribosomal RNA, 490 nt
Filed under: uncultured bacterium
Lineage: Bacteria
Description: partial 16S ribosomal RNA
Rfam family: Bacterial small subunit ribosomal RNA
Source: RNAcentral